RNAcentral lists this ribosomal RNA (379 nucleotides) under uncultured bacterium. RNAcentral's name for it is "bacterial SSU rRNA". It matches the Rfam family "Bacterial small subunit ribosomal RNA", at positions 28 to 407 of the family's 1533-position model. The record is from RNAcentral.
GACGAACGCUGGCGGCGUGCUUAACACAUGCAAGUCGAGCGGUAAGGCCCUUUCGGGGGUACGACGAGCGGCGAACGGGUGAGUAACACGUGGGUGACCUGCCCUUAGCUCUGGGAUAAGCCUGGGAAACGUGGGUCUAAUACCGGAUAUGACUCCAUGACGCAUGUUGUGGGGUGGAAAGCCUUGUGCGGCUAGGGAUGGGCCCGCGGCCUAUCAGCUUGUUGGUGGGGUGAUGGCCUACCAAGGCGACGACGGUAGCCGGCCUGAGAGGGCGACCGGCCACACUGGGACUGAGACACGGCCCAGACUCCUACGGGAGGCAGCAGUGGGGAAUCUUGCGCAAUGGGCGAAAGCCUGACGCAGCGACGCCGCGUGGGGA